GCCCUCUUAGCUCAGCUGGUUAGAGCGUCGUACUAAUAGAAUUCUCGGUUCUAUCAAGUCAAUGCGAAGGUCAACAGUUCAAUCCUGUUAGAGGGCA
Molecule: non-coding RNA, 97 nt
Organism: Rhypophila decipiens
Lineage: Eukaryota; Fungi; Ascomycota; Sordariomycetes; Sordariales; Naviculisporaceae
Source: the annotation of a GenBank genome assembly